GUCUCCUUGGUCCAGUGGUCAAGACAUUGGCAUUCUUAGCCAGUGACCCUUGUUCGAUUCCAGGCGGAGUCC
Strongylocentrotus purpuratus (purple sea urchin) is the source of this 72-nucleotide non-coding RNA. Lineage: Eukaryota; Metazoa; Echinodermata; Echinoidea; Camarodonta; Strongylocentrotidae. The record is from Rfam.